Molecule: long non-coding RNA, 598 nt
Filed under: Chinchilla lanigera (long-tailed chinchilla)
Lineage: Eukaryota; Metazoa; Chordata; Mammalia; Rodentia; Chinchillidae
Description: lncRNA (ENSCLAG00000025632.1)
Source: RNAcentral
CUCUGGGGUCUUGUUUUCUUCCCAAUGCUAUUUAGAACACUAAUGCACCAUGUGCUAAAAUCAUAGCCCUUGGUGCUCAGAAGCAUAAAGCAGAAGUAACAGGCUGAAUCAGUGCUGAUCUUGGAAAACACAGUCUGCUUAGACAGAAGUUGAAGAGAGAAAAUUGGCAAGAAUGAAGAAAUCAGACAGCUUCAUGGAGAGUUUCUCAGUAGGAAAGCCACUGAGGAAACACAUAAGAGCUGAAGGAAGAUGCCACAUCAACAAGACUCUCAAAAUUCUGUGGAACUAUUCACAUGCAGAAGAACUGCAUCCCCAUUCUACCAACUGACACUAACCAGCAGGAAUGUAAAGAAGCCAAGUUAAAAGUCUAUUGAUUUUCCAACCUCAGCUGUAUCUCACCUGACUUACUAUCUCUCUGAUAUUCUCAAUGUAGUCUCAGAUGUGUUAUGAUAUUCCUGGAUCAGAAAAAGGGCCAGGAGAGAUCUUUUACUUCCUUUUAUUUAUUUUAUUGCAAUUGAUUUAUUAAACUUUUUAUCCUAUCACCAUGCACCAAACUCAAGUCAAAAUGGUUCACAGAUCUCAAUAUUAAACCAGAAAC